AUUGAACGCUGGCGGCAGGCCUAACACAUGCCAGUCGAGCGGAUGAAGGGAGCUUGCUCCUGGAUUCAGCGGCGGACGGGUGAGUAAUGCCUAGGAAUCUGCCUGGUAGUGGGGGAUAACGUCCGGAAACGGGCGCUAAUACCGCAUACGUCCUGAGGGAGAAAGUGGGGGAUCUUCGGACCUCACGCUAUCAGAUGAGCCUAGGUCGGAUUAGCUAGUUGGUGGGGUAAAGGCCUACCAAGGCGACGAUCCGUAACUGGUCUGAGAGGAUGAUCAGUCACAGUGGAAGUGAGACACGGACCAGCAUCCUAAGGGAGGCAGCAGUGGGGAAUAUUGGAGAAUGGGCGAACGCGUGAUGCAGCCAUGCCGCGUGUGUGAAGAAGGUCUUCGGAUUGUAAAGCACUUUAAGUUGGGAGGAAGGGCAGUAAGUUAAGACCUUGCUGUUUUGACGUUCCCAACAGAAUAAGCACCGGCUAACUCCGUG
This 484-nucleotide ribosomal RNA is filed under the name uncultured bacterium. RNAcentral describes it as "partial 16S ribosomal RNA". It matches the Rfam family "Bacterial small subunit ribosomal RNA", at positions 30 to 507 of the family's 1533-position model. The record is from RNAcentral.